CGGCGAGUGAAGCGGCAACAGCUCAAAUUUGAAAUCUGGCUCUCGGGCCCGAGUUGUAAUUUGUAGAGGAUGAUUUUGGCGCGGUGCCUUCCGAGUUCCCUGGAACGGGACGCCUUAGAGGGUGAGAGCCCCGUACGGUUGGACGCUAAGCCUCUGUAAAUCUCCUUCGACGAGUCGAGUAGUUUGGGAAUGCUGCUCUAAAUGGGAGGUAAAUUUCUUCUAAAGCUAAAUACCGGCCAGAGACCGAUAGCGCACAAGUAGAGUGAUCGAAAGAUGAAAAGCACUUUGAAAAGAGGGUUAAAUAGCACGUGAAAUUGUUGAAAGGGAAGCAUUUAUUACCAGACCUUUUCCUGGCGGAUCAUGCGGUGUUCUCACCGCUGCACUUCGCCAGGUUUAGGCCAGCAUCGGUUUUUGUAAGGGGAUAAAAGCUUUGGGAACGUAGCUCCCUCGGGAGUGUUAUAGCCCUUUGCAUAAUACCUUUACGGGGACCGAGGACCGCGCUUCGGCAAGGAUGCUGGCAUAAUGGUAAUCAAUGACCCGUCUUGAAACACGGACCAAGGAGUCGAACAUUUGUGCGAGUGUUUGGGUGUUAAACCCUCACGCGUAAUGAAAGUGAACGUAGGUGAGAGCCCUUACGGGCGCAUCAUCGACCGAUCUUGAUGUCUUCGGAUGGAUUUGAGUAAGAGCAUAACUGUUCGGACCCGAAAGAUGGUGAACUAUGCGUGGAUAGGGUGAAGCCAGAGGAAACUCUGGUGGAGGCUCGCAGCGGUUCUGACGUGCAAAUCGAUCGUCAAAUCUGCGCAUGGGGGCGAAAG
This 815-nucleotide ribosomal RNA is filed under the name fungal sp. BGX5. RNAcentral's name for it is "eukaryotic LSU rRNA". It matches the Rfam family "Eukaryotic large subunit ribosomal RNA", at positions 87 to 929 of the family's 3401-position model. The record is from RNAcentral. Lineage: Eukaryota; Fungi.